AUAAUAAUAAUUAGGGCGACCCAUUAGGAUCGCCCAUUUGUCCUUAACUUAACACUUUCAGGUUUGGCCGCCGAUCCGUUAAGUCUAAGAGCAGUUCUGGCGUUACGCAUAGCUGGCUGUUAGCUUGAUUCCUUACUAAAAAACUCACUAACAGUUUUUGUAACCAAAACCCGAGCAUCGCUUGGGUUUUUUUAU
Molecule: small RNA, 195 nt
Filed under: Vibrio genomosp. F10
Lineage: Bacteria; Pseudomonadati; Pseudomonadota; Gammaproteobacteria; Vibrionales; Vibrionaceae
Also listed under: 1 other name
Description: Vibrio sp. F10 MicX Vibrio cholerae sRNA
Rfam family: MicX Vibrio cholerae sRNA
Source: Rfam by way of RNAcentral